AAAUUGAAGAGUUUGAUCAUGGCUCAGAUUGAACGCUGGCGGCAGGCCUAACACAUGCAAGUCGAACGGUAACAGGAAGCAGCUUGCUGCUUUGCUGACGAGUGGCGGACGGGUGAGUAAUGUCUGGGAAACUGCCUGAUGGAGGGGGAUAACUACUGGAAACGGUAGCUAAUACCGCAUAACGUCGCAAGACCAAAGAGGGGGACCUUAGGGCCUCUUGCCAUCGGAUGUGCCCAGAUGGGAUUAGCUAGUAGGUGGGGUAACGGCUCACCUAGGCGACGAUCCCUAGCUGGUCUGAGAGGAUGACCAGCCACACUGGAACUGAGACACGGUCCAGACUCCUACGGGAGGCAGCAGUGGGGAAUAUUGCACAAUGGGCGCAAGCCUGAUGCAGCCAUGCCGCGUGUAUGAAGAAGGCCUUCGGGUUGUAAAGUACUUUCAGCGGGGAGGAAGGGAGUAAAGUUAAUACCUUUGCUCAUUGACGUUACCCGCAGAAGAAGCACCGGCUAACUCCGUGCCAGCAGCCGCGGUAAUACGGAGGGUGCAAGCGUUAAUCGGAAUUACUGGGCGUAAAGCGCACGCAGGCGGUUUGUUAAGUCAGAU
RNAcentral lists this ribosomal RNA (603 nucleotides) under Escherichia coli. RNAcentral's name for it is "bacterial SSU rRNA". It matches the Rfam family "Bacterial small subunit ribosomal RNA", at positions 1 to 593 of the family's 1533-position model. The record is from RNAcentral. Lineage: Bacteria; Pseudomonadati; Pseudomonadota; Gammaproteobacteria; Enterobacterales; Enterobacteriaceae.